This 1273-nucleotide long non-coding RNA is filed under the name Capra hircus (goat). RNAcentral's name for it is "lncRNA (ENSCHIG00010016564.1)". The record is from RNAcentral. Lineage: Eukaryota; Metazoa; Chordata; Mammalia; Artiodactyla; Bovidae.
UGGGACUCUGCCUUCUGCCCUGAUACACCCAGGAAGCCCCUGGUGCUGCUAGGGGAGAAGGACCAGGCUGGGGGCUCUGCUGCUGAGAGCCCGCCCCGGGGGUGAGGGGCUCCCUAAUCUCUCCACUCACAGUGACAUCUUCAUUUCGAGGCUUCAGGCUCUCUGGUCUGUGGAUUGAGACUGUGUCACCAGUAUCGUGUGGCAAGGGGGACCUCACCCAAGUGGCCAAGGACUUAGACUGGAGCCCAGCAGGAGAGGCAGAGUCUGCUCUGGAGGGAGCGGCUCCCUAUGGGGCCGGGCGCAGCCUGCUGCAGGAGUGACCGUGAGUACCCACGGGCUCCCUGGCCUCAUCCUCCUGAGCCCAUGUCUGUCUGUCACUGGUGUCAGCAUGGUGCACCUCGAAUUUCCCACCAGCAGCCUGUCCCGACCCAGGGCCUGCCGUGUGUUACCUGCUCACUCCCACGCCCACCUUGUCUGCCCUUCCCCUUCAUGGGCCCUCGGUCUCCUCCUCGAACCUCUGAUUGAUUCUGGUGGAGCUGGUGGGGGGCGGCCUCGUAUCCGCUGUGCAACUCCUGCUCUUGCCGCCUCCAGCCUCCAUCUGGCCCGCUGUGCUGGAUGUUGUCAUGGAGACGACCUAUCGCGGGAUGCCAUAGGCCCCCCACCUCUGGAGACCGACCCUUAGGUCAGAGGGCUGGCCAGACGCCUUGCACUCUGUAUAAUUUGGGGCAGGGGAGAUUGCAUGCUUGCUUGGUGGUUGGAUGGGCUUCUGUUUCAUGUUCCUAAACUUUACUGGUCUGCCCUGAAACCACAUUACCUUUAGGGAUCGCUGUGACGUAAUGCAUUUGAGUUAAUUUCAAGCCUUCAGAGAGGUUGCAAGUACAGUGACUGUCCUCUCCCUCGAUACUGUGUCUUAUUUGCAUUCUUUUCUUGAACCAUUUUAAAUUGUAUUAAAAAAAUAAGUUGUAGACACAGGACUUUGUCUUUUUUAAUUGAAGCAUAGUUGAUUUACAGUGUUGCAUUAAUUUGUACUAUACAGCUGAGUAAUUCCAUUACAUAUUUUUUUUUCUAUUAUAGUUCAUCAUAGAUACUUAAUACAGUUCUCUGUGCUGUGCGGUAGGAUUUGUUUAUCCAUUCUGUGUAUAAUAGCUUACAUCUACUAACCCCAGCCUCCUCCCCGCUGGCAGCCACAGGUCUGUUUCCCACGGCCGUGAGUCAUUUCUGUCUCAUAGGCAGGCUUUUUUGUGUUGUACUUCAGAUUCCACAAACAAAUGAU